RNAcentral lists this unclassified non-coding RNA (287 nucleotides) under uncultured Clavicipitaceae. RNAcentral's name for it is "sequence contains 5.8S rRNA gene". The stretch from base 1 to 53 matches the Rfam family "5.8S ribosomal RNA", at positions 102 to 154 of the family's 154-position model. The record is from RNAcentral. Lineage: Eukaryota; Fungi; Ascomycota; Sordariomycetes; Hypocreales; Clavicipitaceae.
GAACGCACAUUGCGCCCGCCAGUAUUCUGGCGGGCAUGCCUGUUCGAGCGUCAUUUCAACCCUCAAGACCCCUUCGGGGGACUUGGUGUUGGGGACCGGCACAGGGGCCUGCCUGCUUGUCUUGCAGCGCCCUCGCCGCCCCCGAAAUGAAUUGGCGGCCUCGUCGCGGCCUCCCCUGCGUAGUAGCACAACCUCGCAACGGGAACGUGACGGCGGCCACUGCCGUAAAACAACCCCAAUUUUAUUAGAGUUGACCUCGAAUCAGGUAGGAAUACCCGCUGAACUUA